UGUAUCCUUUGGUUCUGAAAAAUCAUCUUUUUGUUCAUGUAGCUGACACACUGCUCAAGGUUUCCAUCCUUCUAUUGUACCGUUCCAUCACCAAUUCUUUGUAAACCGGUCCUUCCUUUAGUUUCCCUUUCUCUCUAUUUUGUGUUUCCUCUACCUAACCCUCCUUCAACUAUAUUUUGUUCUCUUCUUCUGCUCACGAUCUACCUCUAUUUUCAUCUGCAAACGAUCUCCCCUUCACCCAUGGCGAGACCUUAUGACAUGGUUGGAGACAAACGAAAGAAAGGAGCUAUGGAAGCUGACAGUGAAGAUUCAGCAUAAUUGGAAAGUUACAAUGACAAACAAUGAGCAUUUUGAGAUGGUCAUAGUUGACAAACAAGUGAGUUAUGUGUUUGUUUACACCAUUAUGUUUUUACCUCUUUUGUAUUUUUAUGGUUGUUUCAAUCAUGUUAAGAUCUGAUAGAAACUAUUUCUUGAAUCUGUACUACCAUUGUAUAUAUUUUUCCUGCUCUGUUGUAUGCUUAUGACUAUGGUUGCCAUGAAAGUGGUGGGAUAGCAUGAAUGUUUAACUGAAAAAGCUUACACCUUUACAAAGUUUUCUUUAGUUCUUGAAAUGUUUAGCUCAACCAAAAAAGAUGCUGCACUAACAAAAUUCUCAAAGGCUUCCCACUUACCACUAUCAGAAAUUAUUGUAUUGUCUGAAGUACGUCGCAAGCCCAAGAGCUUUAUAGUUGAAUGCCCAUACUACACACCCGGUAAAUAACAUUUUAGUAUGUCUAUCUUUUGCAUCCAACAAUGUGUGUUACCUUUGCUACAAUGGACAAGCUUAUUCCUGAUACAAAUGGAUGGUACUAUAAGGCUUGCCAUAAAUGUCCUCAAAUGGCUAAGGGAGACAACCCACCUUAUUUUUGCAAAGACGGACACAGGACUGAGGCUGAAAUCUGGAGGUUUCGUACGUGUUGAAGUAGUUCACGAUGAUUCAGCUGGAAGUUUGUUUUCUGAGACCGUGAGGCCGCUGAACUGUUAGAAACAUCUGCGGCAGCUCUUCGUUCGACCAUGGUUGAGAGUGGAAUCACUGAUCCACUGGACUAUCCCCUUGCACUGGACGCAUUAUUGGGGAUAAAGUUUGCUUUCAAGAUUAAUUUGAACCCUCGCUUUAAAAAUGGUUCUGUUGUCAUGUAUCUCCGGGACAAACAAAUUAUUGAUCAACUUGAAGGAAAAGAUGUUGCUAUUGGAUCUGAGGAGACAUUUCUCAACCUUGAGGCCACUACUCAAUCUGAAAUGGUAUAAAUUCUAUCCACCAAAUUGAUCAUCUAUUGUUUAUUUCCUAAAUAAAAUAUCAAGACUUUAUGAAGUAUGUUUCUGCAUAAAUUGGAGAGCAUUGGCGAGGAUGUUUCCUUGGAUAAUUUACAACCUCAAACGGAAGGGGAAAUCUCCUCGUCGCCUAUUCCCGAUCCGGUCACACCUUUGGAAAAUGUCAAGAGGAUGCCUUCCGAAGACGCGGUUGAAUCACCGAUGCAAACUCUCAGCGAAGGUGACCUAUCAUCAACAAAGGUCAACAAGGUGGCCAAGCGUGGAUAAAAAUCUGCAACUUAAACCAUGUUUUCCCUGUCAGCAACAUAACCAACGUUUUGUAUGCCAUUUUGGAUAAUUUUUUUGUCAGAAAGGCUAAACGUGCAACAAGUUCCAGCUGGGUUGUUUUGUGGAUGUACAAGGUUUAUAACCUUUAGAACAUUGGAGCUUAUUUCUCAUCAAUGACCUUGGUA
This is a long non-coding RNA of Vicia villosa (hairy vetch), 1763 nucleotides long. RefSeq lists it as uncharacterized. NCBI's taxonomy places the organism in Eukaryota, Viridiplantae, Streptophyta, Magnoliopsida, Fabales, Fabaceae. The transcript has 5 exons. The record is from RefSeq and is a predicted model, not a curated record.